This 480-nucleotide ribosomal RNA is filed under the name uncultured bacterium. RNAcentral's name for it is "bacterial SSU rRNA". It matches the Rfam family "Bacterial small subunit ribosomal RNA", at positions 29 to 506 of the family's 1533-position model. The record is from RNAcentral.
UUGAACGCUGGCGGAAUGCUUUACACAUGCAAGUCGAGCGGCAGCGCGGGGCAACCUGGCGGCGAGCGGCGAACGGGUGAGUAACAUAUCGGAACGUACCCUAUCGUGGGGGAUAACACAUCGAAAGAUGUGCUAAUACCGCAUACGACCUGAGGGUGAAAGCGGGGGAUCGCAAGACCUCGCGCGACAGGAGCGGCCGAUAUCGGAUUAGCUAGUUGGUGAGGUAAAGGCUCACCAAGGCGACGAUCCGUAGCUGGUCUGAGAGGACGACCAGCCACACUGGAACUGAGACACGGUCCAGACUCCUACGGGAGGCAGCAGUGGGGAAUUUUGGACAAUGGGGGCAACCCUGAUCCAGCCAUUCCGCGUGAGUGAAGAAGGCCUUCGGGUUGUAAAGCUCUUUCGGCAGGAACGAAACGGUGAGCUCUAACAUAGCUUGCUAAUGACGGUACCUGAAGAAGAAGCACCGGCUAACUACGU